Molecule: ribosomal RNA, 1590 nt
Filed under: metagenome
Description: bacterial LSU rRNA
Rfam family: Bacterial large subunit ribosomal RNA
Source: RNAcentral
UUAAGGUUUCCGACGCCAGGUCAUUCCGCGUCGGGUUAGUCGGGGCCUAAGCCGAGGCCGAAAGGCGUAGGCGAUGGAUAGCCGGUCAACAUUCCGGCACCACUUUUGUGGAGCGAUGAGGGGACGCAGCGAGGUAGGCCAGCCCGCGAAUGGUAGUGCGGGUGUAUGCGGUGUCAGACGAUGAGAGAGGUAGGAAAAUCCGCCUUUUGAGUUGAGACCGUGUAACGAGCCCCUGAGGCAUAAGUGAGUUGAGCCUUGCUGCCAAGAAAAGCCUCUAAGCGAUGAAGCGAGAGUGCCCGUACCGCAAACCGACACUGGUAGACGGGUAGAGAAUACCAAGGUGAACGGGAAAACCUUCGUUAAGGAAUUAGGCAAGAUAGCCCCGUAACUUCGGGAGAAGGGGUGCCCCUGAGGGUGAGCGCAAGCGUAGCCCAUGGGGGUCGCAGUGACCAGGCUCUAGUGACUGGUUUACAAAACCACAGGUCUCUGCAAAGCCGAAAGGCGAUGUAUAGGGGCUGACGCCUGCCCAGUGCCGGAAGGUUAAGGGGAGAGGUUAGCGCAAGCGAAGCUUUGAACCGAAGCCCCGGUGAACGGCGGCCGUAACUAUAACGGUCCUAAGGUAGCGAAAUUCCUUGUCGGGUAAGUUCCGACCCGCACGAACGGCGUAACAACUAGAGCACUGUCUCAACGAAGGACCCGGCGAAAUUGAAAUGGCUGUGAAGAUGCGGCCUACCCGCAGCAGGACAAAAAGACCCCGUGGAGCUUUACUGCAAUUUGGCAUUGUGUUUGGGUAUAGUUUGUGUAGGAUAGGUGGGAGGCUAUGAAGCUGGAGCGCUAGCUUCGGUGGAGCCGACGGUGAAAUACCACCCUGACGAUACUUAGACCCUAACGUUCGACCUUUAUCAGGCGAGCGGACCGUGCCAGAUGGGCAGUUUGACUGGGGCGGUCGCCUCCUAAAAGGUAACGGAGGCGCCCAAAGGUUCCCUCAGGCUGAAUGGAAACCAGCCGCAGAGUGCAAAGGCAUAAGGGAGCUUGACUGCAAGACCAACGCGUCGAGCAGAGUCGAAAGACGGGCUUAGUGAUCCCACGGUACUGAGUGGAAGGGCCGUGGCUUACCGGAUAAAAGCUACCCCGGGGAUAACAGGCUGGUGAAGUCCAAGAGUUCACAUCGACGACUUCGCUCGGCACCUCGAUGUCGGCUCAUCGCAUCCUGGGGCUGUACAAGGUCCCAAGGGUCGGGCUGUUCGCCCGUUAAAGCGGUACGCGAGCUGGGUUCAGACCGUCGUGAGACAGGUCGGUCUCUAUCCGCUGUGGGCGUAAGGGAUUUGAGAGGAGCUGCCCCUAGUACGAGAGGACCGGGGUGGACAGACCGCUGGUGUGUCAGUUGUCGUGCCAACGGCAUUGCUGAGUAGCUACGUCUGGCAGAGAUAACCGCUGAAAGCAUCUAAGUGGGAAACUCGCCUCAAGAUGAGAUCCCUGUAAUCCCGUAAGGGAGUAAGGACGCAGGAAGACUACCUGCUUGAUAGGCGGCGUGUGUAAGCGCAGUAAUGUGCUCAGCUAAGCCGUACUAAUGUCCGAGGGCUUUUGCGC